This 497-nucleotide ribosomal RNA is filed under the name uncultured bacterium. Its description in RNAcentral is "partial 16S ribosomal RNA". It matches the Rfam family "Bacterial small subunit ribosomal RNA", at positions 28 to 507 of the family's 1533-position model. The record is from RNAcentral.
GAUGAACGCUGGCGGCGUGCCUAAUACAUGCAAGUCGAGCGAACGGACGAGAAGCUUGCUUCUCUGAUGUUAGCGGCGGACGGGUGAGUAACACGUGGAUAACCUACCUAUAAGACUGGGAUAACUUCGGGAAACCGGAGCUAAUACCGGAUGAUAUUUUGAACCGCAUGGUUCAAAAGUGAAAGACGGUCUUGCUGUCACUUAUAGAUGGAUCCGCGCUGCAUUAGCUAGUUGGUAAGGUAACGGCUUACCAAGGCAACGAUGCAUAGCCGACCUGAGAGGGGGAUCGGCCACCAUGGAACUGAGGCACGGUCGUGCAUCCUACGGGAGGCAGCAGUAGGGAAUCUUCCGCAAUGGGCGAAAGCCUGACGGAGCAACGCCGCGUGAGUGAUGAAGGUCUUCGGAUCGUAAAACUCUGUUAUUAGGGAAGAACAUAUGUGUAAGUAACUGUGCACAUCUUGACGGUACCUAAUCAGAAAGCCACGGCUAACUACGUG